Long non-coding RNA from Mauremys mutica (yellowpond turtle), 597 nucleotides. RefSeq lists it as uncharacterized. NCBI's taxonomy places the organism in Eukaryota, Metazoa, Chordata, Testudines, Geoemydidae. The record is from RefSeq and is a predicted model, not a curated record. The transcript has 3 exons.
CACAAACCUUGUAGCUCUAUCCCCAGAGAGCUUUGAGGCAGUUCAUCAAAGCCUGGGGAAGGAAGAAUAUGUUGCAAUAUAUCUUUCAUUCUUGCAUCUGAGUAACAAGGAUGAACAAUGCAUGCUUUGUUGUGUAUCUUGAAGCAUGUUAACCUCUGUCUAUAAUUGGGAUAAAUUGUUCCCCAGAGAGCCUAUCUCAGUUUCAGUCCAUGAACUUGCAGAUCCCAUUAGAAGAUUAUGUUAAAUCAAAACUUUCUGGGGCAAAGCCCUCCACUGCGACCAAUGAACUAUCCAAUUGCUAUCAACCAAGUUACAUCCUAUAUGAAUUAGGCCGCCUGGUUCUGUUUUCAUCCCACCCUAGACACUGGGCCUGACCUUGAGGUUUGCUGAAUGCCCUCAGCUGAAGUCAGUGGGAGUGCUUAGCCCUUCUCAGGAGGCACUCAGCACCCUGAAGAAUUGGGCUCUCAAGGAUGUAGGAGGUAUAUCUGUAUAUCUGCUGUGCCCUAAAAUGUAAUUACAGUAUAUCAGAGACCAAGAAAACUGCUUUGCACCUGUUUUAUCACAGGAACAAAAGGCACAGGAGACAUUUGGAAAACA